Molecule: ribosomal RNA, 253 nt
Filed under: uncultured bacterium
Lineage: Bacteria
Description: partial 16S ribosomal RNA
Rfam family: Bacterial small subunit ribosomal RNA
Source: RNAcentral
GACGAACCGUGCAAACGUUGUUCGGAAUCACUGGGCUUAAAGGGCGCGUAGGCGGGCGACCAAGUCAGAGGUGAAAGCCCACGGCUCAACCGUGGAAGUGCCCCUGAUACUGGUUGUCUUGAGGGAGAUAGGGGCGUGCGGAACUUCCGGUGGAGCGGUGAAAUGCGUAGAUAUCGGAAGGAACGCCGGUGGCGAAAGCGGCGCGCUGGACCCUUUCUGACGCUGAUGCGCGAAAGCCAGGGGAGCAAACGGG